Molecule: ribosomal RNA, 30 nt
Filed under: Fusarium oxysporum
Lineage: Eukaryota; Fungi; Ascomycota; Sordariomycetes; Hypocreales; Nectriaceae
Description: partial 28S ribosomal RNA
Source: RNAcentral
CCAACUUCUGAAUGUGACCUCGGAUCAGGU